ACCGGGCGCACGGGUGCGUAACGCGUAUAGAAUCUGCCUUACACAGGGGGAUAGCCCAGAGAAAUUUGGAUUAAUACCCCAUAGUAUAUAAAAACCGCAUGGUUUUUAUAUUAAAGAUUUAUCGGUUAAAGAUGGCUAUGCGUCCCAUUAGCUAGUUGGUAUGGUAACGGCAUACCAAGGCGAUGAUGGGUAGGGGUCCUGAGAGGGAGAUCCCCCACACUGGUACUGAGACACGGACCAGACUCCUACGGGAGGCAGCAGUGAGGAAUAUUGGACAAUGGAGGCAACUCUGAUCCAGCCAUGCCGCGUGCAGGAAGACGGCCUUAUGGGUUGUAAACUGCUUUUGUACAGGAAGAAAAAGUCUUACGUGUAAGACAUUGACGGUACUGUAAGAAUAAGCAUCGGCUAACUCCGUGCCAGCAGCCGCGGUAAUACGGAGGAUGCGAGCGUUAUCCGGAAUCAUUGGGUUUAAAGGGUCCGUAGGCGGUUUAUUAAGUCAGUGGUGAAAGUUUGUGGCUCAACCAUAAAAUUGCCAUUGAUGCUGAUAAACUUGAAUGAGUGUGAAGUAACUAGAAUAUGUAGUGUAGCGGUGAAAUGCAUAGAUAUUACAUAGAAUACCGAUUGCGAAGGCAGGUUACUAACACUUGAUUGACGCUGAUGGACGAAAGCGUGGGGAGCGAACAGGAUUAGAUACCCUGGUAGUCCACGCCGUAAACGAUGGAUACUAGCUGUUUGGAAUUAUAUAUGAGUGGCUAAGCGAAAGUGAUAAGUAUCCCACCUGGGGAGUACGUUGGCAACAAUGAAACUCAAAGGAAUUGACGGGGGCCCGCACAAGCGGUGGAUUAUGUGGUUUAAUUCGAUGAUACGCGAGGAACCUUACCAAGACUUAAAUGUAUGCUGACAGGUUUAGAGAUAGACUUUUCUUCGGACAGUAUACAAGGUGCUGCAUGGUUGUCGUCAGCUCGUGCCGUGAGGUGUUAGGUUAAGUCCUGCAACGAGCGCAACCCCUAUCAUUAGUUGCUAACAUUGAGUUGAGGACUCUAAUGAGACUGCCUACGCAAGUAGAGAGGAAGGUGGGGAUGACGUCAAAUCAUCACGGCCCUUACGUCUUGGGCUACACACGUAAUACAAUGGUAGGUACAGAGGGCAGCUACACAGUGAUGUGAUGCAAAUCUCGAAAGCCUAUCUCAGUUCGGAUUGGAGUCUGCAACUCGACUCUAUGAAGCUGGAAUCGCUAGUAAUCGCGCAUCAGCCAUGGCGCGGUGAAUACGUUCCCGGGCCUUGUACACACCGCCCGUCAAGCCAUGGAAGCUGGGGGUACCUGAAGUCGGUGACCGCAAGGAGCUGCCUAGGGUAAAACUAGUAACUGGGGCUAAGUCGUAACAAGGUAGCC
RNAcentral lists this ribosomal RNA (1393 nucleotides) under uncultured bacterium. Its description in RNAcentral is "bacterial SSU rRNA". It matches the Rfam family "Bacterial small subunit ribosomal RNA". The record is from RNAcentral.